CGAGAACAACGGCGGGACCUGCGUGGCGAUCGCCGGCCUUGACUACUGCGUGGUGGCCGCCGACACGAGGCUGUCCGUCGGAUACAGCAUAUACACCAGGGACUAUUCCAAGAUCUGCCAGCUUGCUGACAAAUCAGUGCUGGCAUCCUCUGGGUUCCAGGGUGAUAUAAAAGCUUUGCAGAAAAACUUGGCGGCUAAGCACCUGAUCUAUCAGCAUCAACAUAACAAACAGAUGAGCUGCCCCGCCAUGGGCCAGCUUCUCUCAAAUACCCUUUACUACAAGCGUUUCUUCCCGUACUACGCUUUCAAUGUGCUAGGCGGCCUUGACAGUGAAGGGAAAGGAUGUGUGUUCACAUAUGAUGCUGUCGGUUCUUAUGAAAGGGUUGGGUACAGUGCCCAAGGUUCAGGCUCGACGCUCAUCAUGCCCGUCCUGGAUAACCAACUGAAAUCUCCGAGUCCUCUGUUGUUGCCUACUAGAGAUGCCGUGACUCCGCUUUCUGAAUCAGAAGCUGUGGAUAUGGUGAAAGAUGUCUUCGCAUCGGCCACUGAAAGAGAUAUAUACACUGGAGAUAAAUUAGAAGUUGUUAUCAUCAAUGCAUCUGGCAUUAGGCGUGAAUUCAUUGAGCUAAGGAAGGACUAGAUCUAGUUUUGGAGAUUAGAUGGGUUUGGGGCUUCCAGCUGUUCACUUUCUAUGUUUCAUGGUUACACCAGCCUAUAGACAAUUUGAUUAAAGUUAUUCAUAUACUUGUUAAAGACUCAUCAACUCCCUUUGUGGCUUG
RNAcentral lists this unclassified non-coding RNA (779 nucleotides) under Hevea brasiliensis (rubber tree). Lineage: Eukaryota; Viridiplantae; Streptophyta; Magnoliopsida; Malpighiales; Euphorbiaceae. The record is from RNAcentral.